This is a non-coding RNA of Sturnus vulgaris (Common starling), 434 nucleotides long. Lineage: Eukaryota; Metazoa; Chordata; Aves; Passeriformes; Sturnidae. The record is from RefSeq and is a predicted model, not a curated record.
CAGGGUACCCUGGUGAUAACCUGGAUAAUACAAUCUGAUUUUGGCCUUGAGUCUGUUCCCUUGGAUUAUCGCAUUUCUUCAAGGACCAAAAGCUGUGCUGGUGAUUCAGACCUGGAGGAGAAUGUCUUUUUUAGUGGUGGUCACAAGGACAAUGUUCUAGUUUUAUCUAGUUUUAGACUACCACAGCUCCCCUGGCUGGCCCAGUGUGAGGUGGCCACGGGCCUCCCACAGGCACGCAGGCAAGAGGAGCUGCUCGGUGUGCUGCUUGCAUUUGAUACAUGGUAGACUCAGCACUAGGGAAGGCUGAUGCCCUCCAUCCAGCCUGGAUCAACCUCUGGGUGUGCUGCAGGGACUGAUGGUGCUCCUCAGCUUGCCAGGGGAUGGAGAAACCUAAGGAAAAUGGAGGGGGGAAAAAAAAGCUGGACAGAAAAGGC